GCCAGCAGCCAUAUCACUCUGCAACUGACAACUGGCAGCCCACUGAAGCUCAGCAGGUGUGAGCCUGGCCAGUACCUGGAUGUGAGACCUCCUGGGAAAAACUAAGGCUGCUGCUGGAA
This is a ribosomal RNA of Lepisosteus oculatus (spotted gar), 119 nucleotides long. The record is from Rfam. Lineage: Eukaryota; Metazoa; Chordata; Actinopteri; Semionotiformes; Lepisosteidae.